This 330-nucleotide long non-coding RNA is filed under the name Mytilus galloprovincialis (Mediterranean mussel). The record is from RNAcentral. Lineage: Eukaryota; Metazoa; Mollusca; Bivalvia; Mytilida; Mytilidae.
AAAAACUGCGAAUCUUUCUUUUUAAUAGGUAUCAGUCGAUUCCGUCAUCUCUUUAGCGAUAACAAUACCUUAUGCCAUCCCCGGCAUUGCGACAAACUAAAACAUGUCGUUGCGAGUAGUGUAAUUUUGUGAAGCGAAAACUGUUUUUGGGUCAUGUUUACAUGAGAACUAUGCUAACAAUGUCUGUUUCUUUAAGCGUAAUGCUAUCUACAUAGGGCUCUUAAGGUAGCACAAUACAAAGAUGUUAUACCUCCCAUUCUUCCGUUUUAAAAUGCAGUAACUUUCUAUAUAAUGCUUAAAAUUUAAAAAAUCAUAAAAGUGGUAUUUAUG